RNAcentral lists this unclassified non-coding RNA (200 nucleotides) under uncultured Thelephoraceae. RNAcentral describes it as "sequence contains ITS1". Lineage: Eukaryota; Fungi; Basidiomycota; Agaricomycetes; Thelephorales; Thelephoraceae. The record is from RNAcentral.
CCGAAUUGUCAACAGGAGUUGUUGCUGGUCCUCAAAUGGGGGCAUGUGCACGCUCUGUUCACACAUCCACUCACACCCUGUGCACCCUCUGCAGUUCUAUGGUUGGAGGGCCUGGUCCCUCCUGCUGUGGUUCUGCAUUUUUACACACACACUGUAACAAAGUCUUAUGGAAUGCAUGCCGCGUUUAACGCAAUAUAAUA